GAAAUGCGAUAAGUAAUGUGAAUUGCAGAAUUCAGUGAAUCAUCGAAUCUUUGAACGCACCUUGCGCUCCUUGGUAUUCCUUGGAGCAUGCCUGUUUGAGUAUCAUGAAAUCUUCAAAGUAAAUCUUUUGUUAACUCAAUUGGUUUCUACUUUGGUAUUGGAGGUCUUUGCAGCUUCACACCUGCUCCUCUUUGUUCAUUAGCUGGAUCUCAGUGUUAUGCUUGGUUCCACUCGGCGUGAUAAGUUAUCUAUCGCUGAGGACACUGUAAAAGGUGGCCAAGGUAAAUGCAGAUGAACCGCUUCUAAUAGUCCAUUGACUUGGACAAUACUUUUAUGAUCUGAUCUCAAAUCAGGUCGGACUACCCGCUGAACUUAAGC
RNAcentral lists this unclassified non-coding RNA (378 nucleotides) under plant metagenome. RNAcentral's name for it is "partial contains 5.8S ribosomal RNA, internal transcribed spacer 2, and large subunit ribosomal RNA". The stretch from base 1 to 105 matches the Rfam family "5.8S ribosomal RNA", at positions 50 to 154 of the family's 154-position model. The record is from RNAcentral.